This 578-nucleotide ribosomal RNA is filed under the name uncultured bacterium. Its description in RNAcentral is "partial 16S ribosomal RNA". It matches the Rfam family "Bacterial small subunit ribosomal RNA", at positions 355 to 926 of the family's 1533-position model. The record is from RNAcentral.
UGGGGAAUUUUGGACAAUGGGCGAAAGCCUGAUCCAGCAAUGCCGCGUGUGUGAAGAAGGCCUUCGGGUUGUAAAGCACUUUUGUCCGGAAAGAAAUCCUUGGCUCUAAUACAGUCGGGGGAUGACGGUACCGGAAGAAUAAGCACCGGCUAACUACGUGCCAGCAGCCGCGGUAAUACGUAGGGUGCAAGCGUUAAUCGGAAUUACUGGGCGUAAAGCGUGCGCAGGCGGUUUGCUAAGACCGAUGUGAAAUCCCCGGGCUCAACCUGGGAACUGCAUUGGUGACUGGCAGGCUAGAGUAUGGCAGAGGGGGGUAGAAUUCCACGUGUAGCAGUGAAAUGCGUAGAGAUGUGGAGGAAUACCGAUGGCGAAGGCAGCCCCCUGGGCCAAUACUGACGCUCAUGCACGAAAGCGUGGGGAGCAAACAGGAUUAGAUACCCUGGUAGUCCAGCGCCCUAAACGAUGUCAACUAGUUGUUGGGGAUUCAUUUCCUUAGUAACGUAGCUAACGCGUGAAGUUGACCGCCUGGGGAGUACGGUCGCAAGAUUAAAACUCAAUGAAUUGACGGGUCAUAGCUG